UCGAUUAGAUACCCGGGUAGUCCCAGCCGUAAACGAUGCUCGCUAGGUGUCAGGCAUGGCGCGACCGUGUCUGGUGCCGCAGGGAAGCCGUGAAGCGAGCCACCUGGGAAGUACGGCCGCAAGGCUGAAACUUAAAGGAAUUGGCGGGGGAGCACAACAACGGGUGGAGCCUGCGGUUUAAUUGGAUUCAACGCCGGAAAUCUUACCGGGACCGACAGCAAUAUGAAGGCCAGGCUGAAGACUUUGCCGGAUUAGCUGAGAGGUGGUGCAUGGCA
Molecule: ribosomal RNA, 275 nt
Filed under: uncultured archaeon
Lineage: Archaea
Also listed under: 1 other name
Description: partial 16S ribosomal RNA
Rfam family: Archaeal small subunit ribosomal RNA
Source: RNAcentral